Molecule: ribosomal RNA, 302 nt
Filed under: uncultured bacterium
Lineage: Bacteria
Description: partial 16S ribosomal RNA
Rfam family: Bacterial small subunit ribosomal RNA
Source: RNAcentral
GCAGUAGCCGCGGGAAUACAGAGGGUGCGAGCGUUAAUCGGAUUUACUGGGCGUAAAGCGUGCGUAGGCGGCUUCUUAAGUCGGAUGUGAAAUCCCUGAGCUUAACUUAGGAAUUGCAUUCGAUACUGGGAAGCUAGAGUAUGGGAGAGGAUGGUAGAAUUCCAGGUGUAGCGGUGAAAUGCGUAGAGAUCUGGAGGAAUACCGAUGGCGAAGGCAGCCAUCUGGCCUAAUACUGACGCUGAGGUACGAAAGCAUGGGGAGCAAACAGGAUUAGAUACCCCGGUAGUCCCUGUCUCUUAUAC